AAAAAAAAAAACAACAAAAACAUGAGUGCCAGAUAAAGAAAAGCUGUAAGCAAUAAUUAAAUUUCAAUAAAACAAAUCAUUCAUUGCUCCACCAACUCUACAUUCCCAGACACCAAAAAGCAAAACAAGAAGAAACCAAUAUCCAUUCUUCAAACUCAUGAACACCAAAGUGUUUGAUCUUCUGUCUUUUCUCUUCAAAAGACAAAAAAGUUCAUCAUCUUUUUAACAACUGAUAAGCAAGAAGUAUCAAGUAUCUUUUUCUGGGCAAACCCUUUAAUAAAAAAUGGGGGAAAAAUUCAAAGCUCCAUCAGUUUCGGUAUCUUCACUUUCAACACUAACAAUCCCACCUAAAGCCCCUUUUGAAUCAUUUUUUGGUGUUGGAAAUAUACCCUAUUUUAGUCCAGGUCCAAUGACCCUUGUCUCCAGUUUCUUCUCUGAAUCUGAGUACCCAUCUUUCUCCCAGCUUCUUGCUGGAGCUAUGGCUUCUCCACUAGCAAAACCGCCUACCCUUUUGCCUGAAAAUUCAUCUGGAGAAGAAGAGAAUUGAAUAUAUUUGUAAUUUCUUAUGUGUCAUUAUAAAAUGACGUGAAAUUCCAAGCGUAGGCAAUUGUAUCACACACACACUGAACAUACGAGAAAAUGGUUUAAAAAGUAGAGUUCUGUUGAGUUUAAUUGUUCGGUUGACAAAGUGAUGAGUAAGAGGGUUUAACUGACAAACAGAGCUAACUACAAAGAUCUUUCAUGUCAUUAUUUAACAAAAUAUUCAUAUUUUAUUUAUGAAUAACAUAUAAAUAAUUAUAAAACUUAUAUACGUAUCUAAUUUAUCGGUACGGUUAAAUUAUUUUUGCGGUUAUUUUUAUUAAAAUCAAAAUCAAAUCAAAUAAUACGAGUUUUCAAAAUUUAAAAUCAAAUCUAACCAAACCCAACCAAAUAUCAAUUUUUGUAAUUAAUUUAGUUCAAAUUACAAUUCGAUUUAAAUUUUUUUAAUCAUAACCAUGAACCGUCCUAAUCCAGAUAUGCUAACAACAAAAACAUCACUGCUAUGGAAAAAAAAAAAAAACAACAAAAACAUGAGUGCCAGAUAAAGAAAAGCUGUAAGCAAUAAUUAAAUUUCAAUAAAACAAAUCAUUCAUUGCUCCACCAACUCUACAUUCCCAGACACCAAAAAGCAAAACAAGAAGAAACCAAUAUCCAUUCUUCAAACUCAUGAACACCAAAGUGUUUGAUCUUCUGUCUUUUCUCUUCAAAAGACAAAAAAGUUCAUCAUCUUUUUAACAACUGAUAAGCAAGAAGUAUCAAGUAUCUUUUUCUGGGCAAACCCUUUAAUAAAAAAUGGGGGAAAAAUUCAAAGCUCCAUCAGUUUCGGUAUCUUCACUUUCAACACUAACAAUCCCACCUAAAGCCCCUUUUGAAUCAUUUUUUGGUGUUGGAAAUAUACCCUAUUUUAGUCCAGGUCCAAUGACCCUUGUCUCCAGUUUCUUCUCUGAAUCUGAGUACCCAUCUUUCUCCCAGCUUCUUGCUGGAGCUAUGGCUUCUCCACUAGCAAAACCGCCUACCCUUUUGCCUGAAAAUUCAUCUGGAGAAGAAGAGAAUUGUAAACAAGGGAAUUUAGGGUAUAAGCAGAACCGACCCAUGAAUCUAAUGGUGGCUCAAUCUCCUUUCUUCACGAUUCCAACCGCU
RNAcentral lists this long non-coding RNA (1680 nucleotides) under Solanum tuberosum (potato). Its description in RNAcentral is "long non-coding RNA (STUB_LNC003641)". Lineage: Eukaryota; Viridiplantae; Streptophyta; Magnoliopsida; Solanales; Solanaceae. The record is from RNAcentral.